This 460-nucleotide ribosomal RNA is filed under the name Cladosporium cladosporioides. RNAcentral describes it as "eukaryotic LSU rRNA". The stretch from base 115 to 268 matches the Rfam family "5.8S ribosomal RNA". Lineage: Eukaryota; Fungi; Ascomycota; Dothideomycetes; Cladosporiales; Cladosporiaceae. The record is from RNAcentral.
GUUGUCCGACUCUGUUGCCUCCGGGGCGACCCUGCCUUCGGGCGGGGGCUCCGGGUGGACACUUCAAACUCUUGCGUAACUUUGCAGUCUGAGUAAACUUAAUUAAUAAAUUAAAACUUUUAACAACGGAUCUCUUGGUUCUGGCAUCGAUGAAGAACGCAGCGAAAUGCGAUAAGUAAUGUGAAUUGCAGAAUUCAGUGAAUCAUCGAAUCUUUGAACGCACAUUGCGCCCCCUGGUAUUCCGGGGGGCAUGCCUGUUCGAGCGUCAUUUCACCACUCAAGCCUCGCUUGGUAUUGGGCAACGCGGUCCGCCGCGUGCCUCAAAUCGACCGGCUGGGUCUUCUGUCCCCUAAGCGUUGUGGAAACUAUUCGCUAAAGGGUGCUCGGGAGGCUACGCCGUAAAACAACCCCAUUUCUAAGGUUGACCUCGGAUCAGGUAGGGAUACCCGCUGAACUUAAG